GUGCUAAUUCAGCAACACAUAUACUAAUAUUGGAACAAUACAGAGAAAAGUAGCAUGGGCCCUGUGUAAGGAUGACAUGCAAAUUCGUGAAGCCCCUUAUUUUU
Molecule: small nuclear RNA, 104 nt
Organism: Balaenoptera musculus (blue whale)
Lineage: Eukaryota; Metazoa; Chordata; Mammalia; Artiodactyla; Balaenopteridae
Source: Ensembl